AGGAGAGGGUGCGAAUCAGGAGGGAGAAGAAAGGGGGAGAGCGUGCCGGCGAGUCACUGCCGCUCGUCGCGCCGCUGUCUUCGCCGAUGAAGGAGGAGCGAGGAGAGUGUGUCACGGAGCAGGGGAAGCUCGCGCGAGUGAGGAGCGUCGCCACCGUCGUCGCGCCGUGCGCCGCCAGCUUCGCUGCACCUCGUCAUCACCAUCGCCGUCGGACCGCCAUGGAGUCGUUGCCGUCGAACCGGCGUUGCGAGCUGCUAUCGAGCCUCAAGCAGAAUCCGAUGCGAAGAGAGAGAGACAGAACAACGCGAGGAGAGAGAGAAGGCGUUGCGGGGGUUUCUGCCGCCGCUGCUCUCUCCGCCAUCGCCGCCGCCGGAGUCACGAGCUGAGGUGGGGAAGGAGACCAUUUUCCCUGUUGCUGUUGCAGUCACUGCGCUACUACUGCUACGCUUCAUUUUCCUUGUUUUCCUUAAUUACCGAUUAAGCUGCUGCAACUGUGGACUGUGAUGGUUGAUGCUCUGAAAGAGUUGUCGCUGCUGGGGUGACUGGAAUUACUACUGCCAGUUCUACCGUUGCUACCGAUGCUGUUGACUUGCCCCAAUUCAAGUUCAGUGUCACUGCCCUAGAGUUGUUUCCGCGUUUGAUUCCAUCAAAUUUGAUGUUGCUGCUGUUAAUACUGCUG
Molecule: long non-coding RNA, 679 nt
Organism: Arachis duranensis
Lineage: Eukaryota; Viridiplantae; Streptophyta; Magnoliopsida; Fabales; Fabaceae
Exons: 3
Source: RefSeq, a predicted model, not a curated record